This 68-nucleotide transfer RNA is filed under the name Marmota monax (woodchuck). Its description in RNAcentral is "tRNA.Ala". Lineage: Eukaryota; Metazoa; Chordata; Mammalia; Rodentia; Sciuridae. The record is from RNAcentral.
GGUUUGUGGCUCAGCGGUAGAGUGCUUGCCUAGCAUGGGCAAGGCCCUGGGUUUGAUCCUCAGCACCA